ACAUCUGCACAUGAGCGUGAUGCAGGCUAUCGUUGAUCUUGUUUAAGGAUCGACUUUAGUCAUCGAUGACCGUUCACCACGAGAGCUCGUCUCAAUGUGGUAGGGUGUGGAUGUGAUCUGA
Molecule: small nucleolar RNA, 121 nt
Filed under: Pediculus humanus corporis (human body louse)
Lineage: Eukaryota; Metazoa; Arthropoda; Insecta; Psocodea; Pediculidae
Description: small nucleolar RNA U3
Rfam family: Small nucleolar RNA U3
About the family: Small nucleolar RNAs (snoRNAs) are involved in the processing and modification of rRNA in the nucleolus.
Source: Rfam by way of RNAcentral